Molecule: ribosomal RNA, 421 nt
Filed under: uncultured bacterium
Lineage: Bacteria
Description: bacterial SSU rRNA
Rfam family: Bacterial small subunit ribosomal RNA
Source: RNAcentral
GAGGAAUAUUGGUCAAUGGGCGGGAGCCUGAACCAGCCAAGUCGCGUGAAGGAAGAAGGAUCUAUGGUUCGUAAACUUCUUUUGCAGGGGAAUAAAGUGCAGGACGUGUCCUGUUUUGUAUGUACCCUGAGAAUAAGGAUCGGCUAACUCCGUGCCAGCAGCCGCGGUAAUACGGAGGAUCCGAGCGUUAUCCGGAUUUAUUGGGUUUAAAGGGUGCGUAGGUGGUUUGAUAAGUCAGCGGUGAAAGUUUGCAGCUUAACUGUAAAAAUGCCGAUGAAACUGUCGGACUUGAGUGUAAAUGAGGUAGGCGGAAUGCGUGGUGUAGCGGUGAAAUGCAUAGAUAUCACGCAGAACUCCGAUUGCGAAGGCAGCUUACUAAGCUACAACUGACACUGAAGCACGAAAGCGUGGGGAUCAAACA